UACGUAAGGGGGAAGCGUUGUCCGGAAUCACUGGGCGUAAAGCGCGCGUAGGCGGUUUGGUAAGUCGGGUGUGAAAUCCCCGGGCUCAACCCGGGAACUGCGCCCGAAACUGCCUCACUGGAGGGACGGAGAGGUGCACGGAAUUCCCGGUGUAGGGGUGAAAUCCAUAGAGAUCGGGAGGAACACCAAUGGCGAAGGCAGUGCACUGGACGUUUCCUGACGCUGAGGUGCGAAAGCGUGGGUAGCGAACGGG
This 253-nucleotide ribosomal RNA is filed under the name uncultured bacterium. RNAcentral's name for it is "partial 16S ribosomal RNA". It matches the Rfam family "Bacterial small subunit ribosomal RNA", at positions 524 to 776 of the family's 1533-position model. The record is from RNAcentral.